RNAcentral lists this ribosomal RNA (497 nucleotides) under uncultured bacterium. RNAcentral describes it as "partial 16S ribosomal RNA". It matches the Rfam family "Bacterial small subunit ribosomal RNA", at positions 28 to 507 of the family's 1533-position model. The record is from RNAcentral.
GAUGAACGCUGGCGGCGUGCCUAAUACAUGCAAGUCGAGCGAACAGACGAGGAGCUUGCUCCUCUGACGUUAGCGGCGGACGGGUGAGUAACAGGUGGAUAACCUACCUAUAAUACUGGGAUAACUUCGGGAAACCGGAGCUAAUACCGGAUAAUAUAUUGAACCGCAUGGUUCAAUAGUGAAAGACGGUUUUGCUGUCACUUAUAGAUGGAUCCGCGCCGCAUUAGCUAGUUGGUAAGGUAACGGCUUACCAAGGCAACGAUGCGUAGCCGACCUGAGAGGGUGAUCGGCCACACUGGAACUGAGACACGGUCCAGACUCCUACGGGAGGCAGCAGUAGGGAAUCUUCCGCAAUGGGCGAAAGCCUGACGGAGCAACGCCGCGUGAGUGAUGAAGGUCUUCGGAUCGUAAAACUCUGUUAUUAGGGAAGAACAAAUGUGUAAGUAACUAUGCACGUCUUGACGGUACCUAAUCAGAAAGCCACGGCUAACUACGUG